GGGACACGUGGUAUCCUGUCUGAAUAUGGGGGGACCAUCCUCCAAGGCUAAAUACUCCUGACUGACCGAUAGUGAACCAGUACCGUGAGGGAAAGGCGAAAAGAACCCCGGCGAGGGGAGUGAAAAAGAACCUGAAACCGUGUACGUACAAGCAGUGGGAGCACGCUUAGGCGUGUGACUGCGUACCUUUUGUAUAAUGGGUCAGCGACUUAUAUUCUGUAGCAAGGUUAACCGAAUAGGGGAGCCGAAGGGAAACCGAGUCUUAACUGGGCGUUAAGUUGCAGGGUAUAGACCCGAAACCCGGUGAUCUAGCCAUGGGCAGGUUGAAGGUUGGGUAACACUAACUGGAGGACCGAACCGACUAAUGUUGAAAAAUUAGCGGAUGACUUGUGGCUGGGGGUGAAAGGCCAAUCAAACCGGGAGAUAGCUGGUUCUCCCCGAAAGCUAUUUAGGUAGCGCCUCGUGAAUUCAUCUCCGGGGGUAGAGCACUGUUUCGGCAAGGGGGUCAUCCCGACUUACCAACCCGAUGCAAACUGCGAAUACCGGAGAAUGUUAUCACGGGAGACACACGGCGGGUGCUAACGUCCGUCGUGAAGAGGGAAACAACCCAGACCGCCAGCUAAGGUCCCAAAGUCAUGGUUAAGUGGGAAACGAUGUGGGAAGGCCCAGACAGCCAGGAUGUUGGCUUAGAAGCAGCCAUCAUUUAAAGAAAGCGUAAUAGCUCACUGGUCGAGUCGGCCUGCGCGGAAGAUGUAACGGGGCUAAACCAUGCACCGAAGCUGCGGCAGCGACGCUUAUGCGUUGUUGGGUAGGGGAGCGUUCUGUAAGCCUGUGAAGGUGUGCUGUGAGGCAUGCUGGAGGUAUCAGAAGUGCGAAUGCUGACAUAAGUAACGAUAAAGCGGGUGAAAAGCCCGCUCGCCGGAAGACCAAGGGUUCCUGUCCAACGUUAAUCGGGGCAGGGUGAGUCGACCCCUAAGGCGAGGCCGAAAGGCGUAGUCGAUGGGAAACAGGUUAAUAUUCCUGUACUUGGUGUUACUGCGAAGGGGGGACGGAGAAGGCUAUGUUGGCCGGGCGACGGUUGUCCCGGUUUAAGCGUGUAGGCUGGUUUUCCAGGCAAAUCCGGAAAAUCAAGGCUGAGGCGUGAUGACGAGGCACUACGGUGCUGAAGCAACAAAUGCCCUGCUUCCAGGAAAAGCCUCUAAGCAUCAGGUAACAUCAAAUCGUACCCCAAACCGACACAGGUGGUCAGGUAGAGAAUACCAAGGCGCUUGAGAGAACUCGGGUGAAGGAACUAGGCAAAAUGGUGCCGUAACUUCGGGAGAAGGCACGCUGAUAUGUAGGUGAAGCGACUUGCUCGUGGAGCUGAAAUCAGUCGAAGAUACCAGCUGGCUGCAACUGUUUAUUAAAAACACAGCACUGUGCAAACACGAAAGUGGACGUAUACGGUGUGACGCCUGCCCGGUGCCGGAAGGUUAAUUGAUGGGGUCAGCGCAAGCGAAGCUCUUGAUCGAAGCCCCGGUAAACGGCGGCCGUAACUAUAACGGUCCUAAGGUAGCGAAAUUCCUUGUCGGGUAAGUUCCGACCUGCACGAAUGGCGUAAUGAUGGCCAGGCUGUCUCCACCCGAGACUCAGUGAAAUUGAACUCGCUGUGAAGAUGCAGUGUACCCGCGGCAAGACGGAAAGACCCCGUGAACCUUUACUAUAGCUUGACACUGAACAUUGAGCCUUGAUGUGUAGGAUAGGUGGGAGGCUUAGAAGUGUGGACGCCAGUCUGCAUGGAGCCGACCUUGAAAUACCACCCUUUAAUGUUUGAUGUUCUAACGUUGACCCGUAAUCCGGGUUGCGGACAGUGUCUGGUGGGUAGUUUGACUGGGGCGGUCUCCUCCUAAAGAGUAACGGAGGAGCACGAAGGUUGGCUAAUCCUGGUCGGACAUCAGGAGGUUAGUGCAAUGGCAUAAGCCAGCUUGACUGCGAGCGUGACGGCGCGAGCAGGUGCGAAAGCAGGUCAUAGUGAUCCGGUGGUUCUGAAUGGAAGGGCCAUCGCUCAACGGAUAAAAGGUACUCCGGGGAUAACAGGCUGAUACCGCCCAAGAGUUCAUAUCGACGGCGGUGUUUGGCACCUCGAUGUCGGCUCAUCACAUCCUGGGGCUGAAGUAGGUCCCAAGGGUAUGGCUGUUCGCCAUUUAAAGUGGUACGCGAGCUGGGUUUAGAACGUCGUGAGACAGUUCGGUCCCUAUCUGCCGU
This 2244-nucleotide ribosomal RNA is filed under the name Escherichia coli. RNAcentral describes it as "partial 23S ribosomal RNA". It matches the Rfam family "Bacterial large subunit ribosomal RNA", at positions 419 to 2648 of the family's 2925-position model. Lineage: Bacteria; Pseudomonadati; Pseudomonadota; Gammaproteobacteria; Enterobacterales; Enterobacteriaceae. RNAcentral also lists the same sequence under 1 other name. The record is from RNAcentral.